GGAAGUUAAGAAACUGUUUCUUAACUUUUAACUAAAAAAUGUAAGAAUCGGUUCUUAAAUAAAGACUUUAAGAACCGGUUCUUACAUUUUUUAGUUAAAAGUUAAGAAACAAUUUAUUAACUUCC
Non-coding RNA from Brassica napus (rape), 125 nucleotides. Lineage: Eukaryota; Viridiplantae; Streptophyta; Magnoliopsida; Brassicales; Brassicaceae. The record is from Rfam.